AGCAGCCGCGGUAAUUCCAGCUCCAAUAGCGUAUAUUAAAGUUGUUGCAGUUAAAAAGCUCGUAGUUGAAUUUCGGGGUUAGUAGGUUGGUCGUGCCACUGGUACGUACUGGUCUCACUGACUCCUCCUUCCUGAUGAACUGUAAUGCCAUUAAUUUGGUGUUGCGGGGAAACUGGACUGUUACUUUGAAAAAUUAGAGUGUUUAAAGCAAGCUAACGCUUGAAUACAUUAGCAUGGAAUAAUGAAAUAGGACGUUCGAUCCUAUUUUGUUGGUUUCUAGGAUUGACGUAAUGAUUAAUAGGGAUAGUUGGGGGCAUUAGUAUUCAAUUGUCAGAGGUGAAAUUCUUGGAUUUAUUGAAGACUAACUACUGCGAAAGCAUUUGCCAAGGAUGUUUUCAUUAAUCAAGAACGAAAGUUAGGGGAUCGAAGACGAUCAGAUACCGUCGUAGUCUUAACCAUAAACUAUGCCGACUAGGAUCGGAUGAU
RNAcentral lists this ribosomal RNA (486 nucleotides) under uncultured Glomus. RNAcentral describes it as "SSU rRNA". It matches the Rfam family "Eukaryotic small subunit ribosomal RNA", at positions 569 to 1060 of the family's 1831-position model. Lineage: Eukaryota; Fungi; Glomeromycota; Glomeromycetes; Glomerales; Glomeraceae. The record is from RNAcentral.